UACGUAGGGCGCAAGCGUUGUCCGGAAUUAUUGGGCGUAAAGAGCUCGUAGGUGGUUUGUCGCGUCUGUUGUGAAAAGCCCCGGGGCUUAACUCCGGGUUUGCAGUGGAUACGGGCAGGCUAGAGGCAGGUAGGGGAGAACGGAAUUCCCGGUGUAGCGGUGAAAUGCGCAGAUAUCGGGAGGAACACCGGUGGCGAAGGCGGGUCUCUGGGCCGAUACUGACGCUGAGGAGCGAAAGCGUGGGGAGCAAACAGGAUUGAGAA
This 263-nucleotide ribosomal RNA is filed under the name uncultured bacterium. RNAcentral's name for it is "partial 16S ribosomal RNA". It matches the Rfam family "Bacterial small subunit ribosomal RNA", at positions 524 to 784 of the family's 1533-position model. The record is from RNAcentral.